RNAcentral lists this ribosomal RNA (484 nucleotides) under uncultured bacterium. Its description in RNAcentral is "partial 16S ribosomal RNA". It matches the Rfam family "Bacterial small subunit ribosomal RNA", at positions 30 to 507 of the family's 1533-position model. The record is from RNAcentral.
AUUGAACGCUGGCGGCAGGCCUAACACAUGCAAGUCGAGCGGAUGAAGGGAGCUUGCUCCUGGAUUAAGCGGCGGACGGGUGAGUAAUGCCUAGGAAUCUGCCUGGUAGUGGGGGAUAACGUCCGGAAACGGGCGCUAAUACCGAAUACGUCCUGAGGGAGAAAGUGGGGGAUCUUCGGACCUCACGCUAUCAGAUGAGCCUAGGUCGGAUUAGCUAGUUGGUGGGGUAAAGGCCUACCAAGGCGACGAUCCGUAACUGGUCUGAGAGGAUGAUCAGUCACACUGGAACUGAGACACGGUCCAGACUCCUACGGGAGGCAGCAGUGGGGAAUAUUGGACAAUGGGCGAAAGCCUGAUCCAGCCAUGCCGCGUGUGUGAAGAAGGUCUUCGGAUUGUAAAGCACUUUAAGUUGGGAGGAAGGGCAGUAAGUUAAUACCUUGCUGUUUUGACGUUACCAACAGAAUAAGCACCGGCUAACUUCGUG